AACGCACAUUGCGCCCUUCGGUAUUCCGUUGGGCAUGCCUGUUCGAGCGUCAUUUGACCCUUCAAGCUCUGCUUGGUGUUGGGCGUUUGUUCCGCCUCCGCGCGUGGACUCGCCUCAAAUUCAUUGGCAGCCGGCAAGUUGGCUUCGUGCGCAGCACAUUGCGUCGCGACUCCAGCCUGUCUCCGUCCAGAAAGGUUCCUCAUCACUUUGACCUCGGAUCAGGUAGGGAUACCCGCUGAACUUAA
Molecule: unclassified non-coding RNA, 245 nt
Filed under: Pleosporales sp.
Lineage: Eukaryota; Fungi; Ascomycota; Dothideomycetes; Pleosporales
Also listed under: 2 other names
Description: partial contains 5.8S ribosomal RNA, internal transcribed spacer 2, and large subunit ribosomal RNA
Source: RNAcentral